Molecule: long non-coding RNA, 974 nt
Organism: Rhopalosiphum maidis (corn leaf aphid)
Lineage: Eukaryota; Metazoa; Arthropoda; Insecta; Hemiptera; Aphididae
Exons: 5
Source: RefSeq, a predicted model, not a curated record
CCGACGGAUCAACACGUGUGUAAACCGUCCACGAGUGUGCUUUUACAGCUUACGAUAGCAAACAUAUUACGACACUUACUUCGAUAACGGGUUAUUUUACUUAUGGCAGCGCAUUAAAUUAAAACCGGAAAGUUCUUCAGCACUACAACAAUAGAUUGUAACACAUUUUCUAAAGUCAUCAAAAUCCGUCAUACUUCCAAAUCAGUGACACGUAUCAACGCUAUAGAAGCUGAAGAACUUGCAACUAGAAAUAUUCGAAUGGGUUAUUUUACUUAUGGCAGCGCAUUAAAUUAAAACCGGAAAGUUCUUCAGCACUACAACAAUAGAUUGUAACACAUUUUCUAAAGUCAUCAAAAUCCGUCAUACUUCCAAAUCAGUGACACGUAUCAACGCUAUAGAAGCUGAAGAACUUGCAACUAGAAAUAUUCGAAUGGGUUAUUUUACUUAUGGCAGCGCAUUAAAUUAAAACCGGAAAGUUCUUCAGCACUACAACAAUAGAUUGUAACACAUUUUCUAAAGUCAUCAAAAUCCGUCAUACUUCCAAAUCAGUGACACGUAUCAACGCUAUAGAAGCUGAAGAACUUGCAACUAGAAAUAUUCGAAUGGGUUAUUUUACUUAUGGCAGCGCAUUAAAUUAAAACCGGAAAGUUCUUCAGCACUACAACAAUAGAUUGUAACACAUUUUCUAAAGUCAUCAAAAUCCGUCAUACUUCCAAAUCAGUGACACGUAUCAACGCUAUAGAAGCUGAAGAACUUGCAACUAGAAAUAUUCGAAUGGGUACAUAAUAUGUUUUUAACCGGUUAAUAUGUUUUUGGGUACGACAAUAGAUAACCCAAUACCAAGAUACCAGCUGCUAUUAUGUUACAUAUUAUGGUAACAAACAUAACAAUAUAAAACGUCUUCAUCUAUUUCUAUAAAUUAAUAAUUUAUUAUACCAAGUAAUAUUUAAUGGUUAUUGUAAUAACUCGUUUAU